GGGGCAAGUUGAAUAAAUUGUAGAGAUCUAUUGGACAGCAUGGUGAAUACAGUUAAUAAUAAUGUUUAAAGUUGAUCUCAGUGCCUCACCCAUGCUAGCAAACACCCUACCAUUGAGCUACAUUCCCAGUCCUUUUUUUUAUUUUUUAUUUUGAGACAGAGUAUCACUAAGUUGUUGGAGCUGGCCUCAACUUGCUAUACUGUUCUCUCAGCCUCCUUAAUCGUUUGGAUUACAGGUGUGUACCACCACUCCCAGAAUGUCAAACAUCUUUUCACAUGCUUGUCUGCCACUUGCAUAUCAUCUUUGGAUGUCUACCCAAGUCCCUUGCCUGUUCUUUAAUCAAAUUAUUUGAGUUUUUGAGGUUGAGUUGUAGGAGUUCUUUAUAUAUUUAAGAUGUUAACCUCUUCUUGGAUAUAUGAGCUGCAAAUAUCUUAUUCUGUACAUUACCUUUUUGCUCUCAUGUGUCCUUUGACACAGAAAAUUUCUUAAGUGUGAUGUAGCCCCACAUAUCUGUUUUUGCUUUGAUUAACUAUGAUUUUGGUACCACAUCCAAGAAAGUAUUACCAAGUCCAAUGUUACAAAGUGUCCCCCUGUUUUCUUCAAGGAAUUUCACAGUUUUAGGUCUUACAUUUAGGUAUUUUAUUUCAUUUUAUCUUUGGUACCAGGAAUUGAACGCAGAAAUGCUCUAC
This 689-nucleotide long non-coding RNA is filed under the name Marmota monax (woodchuck). The record is from RNAcentral. Lineage: Eukaryota; Metazoa; Chordata; Mammalia; Rodentia; Sciuridae.